GGGCUACUUCAGGCUUCAGAAGAAUUGCCACUUUUGCAGUCAAAUCCAAGUAACAUCUGCUCUAUGCAACCAGUCAAUAUUGUGGAAAAGUUCAAAGAAUGAAGAUCAUUAGUAGUGUCAGCUUUACAACCAGAAGUCACUUGGCAAGUAAAAUGAAGGCAUUAUAUAUAUUGAGGGUAUCAUUACAUAACUUUCAGGCAAGUUAAAUCAAGUCUGAUGUAUGCAUGAAGUGACAACUGCUUCACAGAAGCAGCAAAAUCCACAAAAUAUUUUGAGGGCUGCAUAUGCUAGUGCAGGAAACUUGUUAUUGCCUCUGAAUAAACAGGUUCCUAUA
Long non-coding RNA from Oxyura jamaicensis (ruddy duck), 334 nucleotides. RefSeq lists it as uncharacterized. The record is from RefSeq and is a predicted model, not a curated record. The transcript has 2 exons. NCBI's taxonomy places the organism in Eukaryota, Metazoa, Chordata, Aves, Anseriformes, Anatidae.